CCAAACCAGAUUGGCUCAGUCACCACUAGCCCUCUGAACCCUGGAAGCUUGGUUGGUCUCCCAGCUGGGGCAGCCACCGUGACGACUUCGCCCAUCUAUGACUGCAAAGCCCAGCAAGGUGGAUUAUCCCAACCCGGAAGUGUGAGAACAUUACCACCCAGAUGCCUCUCCAGGGACCUCUCCUGUGAUUAAACAACCACUGUAAAGUUUCCUCGAAGCCAUGGCCAGCUCGCAUGGCCCCUGGAAUGGCACCUCAGAUGGGAGUUGCAGACACAAAACUUGAUGUUGGCCAGCAGCUAGCAAAAAUGAUUAAAGC
Balaenoptera ricei (Rice's whale) is the source of this 316-nucleotide long non-coding RNA. RefSeq lists it as uncharacterized. NCBI's taxonomy places the organism in Eukaryota, Metazoa, Chordata, Mammalia, Artiodactyla, Balaenopteridae. The transcript has 3 exons. The record is from RefSeq and is a predicted model, not a curated record.